RNAcentral lists this ribosomal RNA (459 nucleotides) under uncultured bacterium. RNAcentral describes it as "partial 16S ribosomal RNA". It matches the Rfam family "Bacterial small subunit ribosomal RNA", at positions 338 to 795 of the family's 1533-position model. The record is from RNAcentral.
CCUACGGGUGGCAGCAGUGAGGAAUAUUGGUCAAUGGACGCAAGUCUGAACCAGCCAUGCCGCGUGCAGGAUGACGGCUCUAUGAGUUGUAAACUGCUUUUGUACGAGGGUAAACCCCGAUACGUGUAUCGGGUUGAAAGUAUCGUACGAAUAAGGAUCGGCUAACUCCGUGCCAGCAGCCGCGGUAAUACGGAGGAUCCGAGCGUCAUCCGGAUUUAUUGGGUUUAAAGGGAGCGUAGGCGGGAUGCCAAGUCAGCGGUAAAAAUGCGGUGCUCAACGCCGUCGAGCCGUUGAAACUGGCGUUCUUGAGUGGGCGAGAAGUAUGCGGAAUGCGUGGUGUAGCGGUGAAAUGCAUAGAUAUCACGCAGAACUCCGAUUGCGAAGGCAGCAUACCGGCGCCCUACUGACGCUGAGGCACGAAAGCGUGGGUAUCGAACAGGAUUAGAUACCCGAGUAGUC